UGUGAGAGAUCCUUCUAAGAUGCUUUGUUGUGGUUUCAUCAAGGGAUGCAGAUGUGAGUGGACAUACAGAAAGUAAAAUGUACCGAAUUAUAAAUACAUGGCCUCAAAAUAUCUCUAAUUUUUGCCAUGAAGAAGGCAUGCCUUUCUACCACAACUGAGUUUGCAGGAAUUUCUCUAUUACUUUAUUUUAUUUAAAUCUGAUUCAAAAACUCCUAUCUGCCAAUCCAUUAUAAAGAAUUUCAUUCUUGGUCAUUAUUGGGCCUUUUGUUUCACUGUCUAUCCCCAGAGUCAUGACAACAAAAUAGAUGGGAAAAAAAAUAUAUAGCAAUUUGGGAAGUCAUUUCCAUCUGUGUUCCAUACUGCUUACUAUUGAUACUGUCCAAAGCCACAUGAGCCCUUCUAUUCAGGGGCUUCAGAGUUAAAAUCACCAAGGGAUACCACUACAUGCUAUUAUAAUAACUAUAAUAAAAAAUACUGAUGACACCAAGUGCUGAGUAAAAUGUAGAACAGUUUGAAUUCUCACAUGUUGCUAGUAGAAGUGUAAGAUAAUACAACUACUCUCAGAAACAGUGUGGCAGUUUCUAUUAAGUUAAACAGACUUUUAUCACAUGAUUCAGAAACCUCACUCUUGGAUAUUUACCCUACAGAAAUUAAAUCUUAUAUUCACACAAGACCCUGUUCACAAACGUCCAUAGUAGUUUUGUGAUAGUCAAAAGCUGAAAACAACCCAAAUAUCCGACAACAGGUAAAAGGAUGAACAGAUGGAGAGGUAUGUCCAUACCAUGGAAUACUAUCCAGCUGUAAAGAGAAGUGAACUAUUGAUACACACAACAUAGAUUGAUCUCAAAGACACGCUGAGAGCAGCCAGUUUCAAAAGAAUAGGUACUAUAUGAUUUCAUUCAUCUGACAUUCUCAAAAAGACAAAACCAAUCAGUGGUUCUCAGGAGUUAUGAAUGGCAGCAGGCUUGACUGUAAAGGAAUAAGAUGGCAGAGUUCUGGAGUUUGUCAUGGAAUUGUUCUGUAGCCUGAAAAUAUGAACCCAAAUGUGUGUUAAAAUUUGUAGAACAAUACAAAAUUAAAAAGUAAAUUUUACUGUGUGAUAAUAUUA
RNAcentral lists this long non-coding RNA (1108 nucleotides) under Marmota monax (woodchuck). The record is from RNAcentral. Lineage: Eukaryota; Metazoa; Chordata; Mammalia; Rodentia; Sciuridae.